Transfer RNA from Ovis aries (sheep), 72 nucleotides. It matches the Rfam family "tRNA". From Rfam's summary of the family: Transfer RNA (tRNA) molecules are approximately 80 nucleotides in length. Their secondary structure includes four short double-helical elements and three loops (D, anti-codon, and T loops). The record is from Rfam. Lineage: Eukaryota; Metazoa; Chordata; Mammalia; Artiodactyla; Bovidae.
UCCCUGGUGGUUCAGACAAUAGAGAAUCUGCCUGCAAUGCAGGAGACCCAGGUUCAAUCCCUGGAUUGGGAA